RNAcentral lists this ribosomal RNA (456 nucleotides) under uncultured bacterium. RNAcentral's name for it is "bacterial SSU rRNA". It matches the Rfam family "Bacterial small subunit ribosomal RNA", at positions 923 to 1379 of the family's 1533-position model. The record is from RNAcentral.
GCACAAGCGGUGGAGCAUGUGGUUUAAUUCGACGCAACGCGAAGAACCUUACCUGGGCUCGAAAUGUUAUGGACCGGAGUAGAAAUAUUCUUUCCCAGCAAUGGGCCGUAAUAUAGGUGCUGCAUGGCUGUCGUCAGCUCGUGUCGUGAGAUGUUGGGCUAAGUCCCGCAACGAGCGCAACCCUUAUCCCCAGUUGCCAUCAUUAAGUUGGGCACUCUGGUGAAACCGCCUCGGAUAACGGGGAGGAAGGUGGGGAUGACGUCAAGUCCUCAUGGCCUUUAUGUCCAGGGCUACACACGUGCUACAAUGGCCGGUACAAACCGUCGCAAACCCGUGAGGGGGAGCUAAUCGGAAAAAGCCGGCCUCAGUUCGGAUUACAGUCUGCAACUCGACUGUAUGAAGCUGGAAUCGCUAGUAAUCGCGGAUCAGAAUGCCGCGGUGAAUACGUUCCCGGGC